CGGAGGAAAAGAAACCAACAGGGAUUGCCCUAGUAACGGCGAGUGAAGCGGCAACAGCUCAAAUUUGAAAUCUGGCCCUUUUUGGGGGGUCCGAGUUGUAAUUUGCAGAGGGUGCUUUGGCGUUGGCCCUGGCCUAAGUUCCUUGGAACAGGACGUCACAGAGGGUGAGAACCCCGUACGUGGCCGCCGGUCUUCGCCGUGUAAAGCCCCUUCGACGAGUCGAGUUGUUUGGGAAUGCAGCUCUAAAUGGGAGGUAAAUUUCUUCUAAAGCUAAAUAUUGGCCAGAGACCGAUAGCGCACAAGUAGAGUGAUCGAAAGAUGAAAAGCACUUUGGAAAGAGAGUCAAAAAGCACGUGAAAUUGUUGAAAGGGAAGCGCUUGCAGCCAGACUUGCCUGUAGUUGCUCAUCCGGGCUUCUGCCCGGUGCACUCUUCUGCGGGCAGGCCAGCAUCAGUCCAGGCGGUCGGAUAAAGGUCUCGGGAAUGUAGCUCUCUUCGGGGAGUGUUAUAGCCCGGGGCGUAAUGCGGCCAGCUUGGACUGAGGUCCGCGCAUCUGCUAGGAUGCUGGCGUAAUGGCUGUAAGCGGCCCGUCUUGAAACACGGACCAAGGAGUCUAACAUCUAUGCGAGUGUUUGGGUGUCAAGCCCGGGCGCGCAAUGAAAGUGAACGGAGGUGGGAACCCCUUGGGGCGCACCAUCGACCGAUCCUGAUGUCUUCGGAUGGAUUUGAGUAAGAGCAUAGCUGUUGGGACCCGAAAGAUGGUGAACUAUGCCUGAAUAGGGUGAAGCCAGAGGAAACUCUGGUGGAGGCUCGCAGCGGUUCUGACGUGCAAAUCGAUCGUCAAAUUUGGGCAUAGGGGCGAAAGACUAAUCGAAACAUC
Molecule: ribosomal RNA, 878 nt
Filed under: Pseudoastrosphaeriellopsis kaveriana
Lineage: Eukaryota; Fungi; Ascomycota; Dothideomycetes; Pleosporales; Pseudoastrosphaeriellaceae
Description: LSU rRNA
Rfam family: Eukaryotic large subunit ribosomal RNA
Source: RNAcentral